GAAGUGGAACAGACCGCCGCUGGUGCAGGGCCCGAAAGGGUGCACUGGAGGAAGGUCCGGACUGCACAGGGCGGCGUAGCAGCUAACGGCUGUCCACCGCGAGGUGAGGAUCAGAGCAACAGAGACGAGUCGGCCGGGGGCGCAAGCCCGCGGCAGGGUGAAACGGGCAAUCUCUACGCGCAGCAACACCAAAUAGGCCAGCGUUGAUGUGGCUCCGCGGAGCUGGCGGGUAGGUGGCAUCGAGCCGUGCAGUGAUGCACGGCCCAGAGGAAUGGCGGUCACGGCCGGCAUGUCGCAAGGCAUGCCGGCUGCACAGAAUCCGGCCUAUCGUUCCGCUUCACUU
Molecule: RNase P RNA, 343 nt
Filed under: Rhizobacter gummiphilus
Lineage: Bacteria; Pseudomonadati; Pseudomonadota; Betaproteobacteria; Burkholderiales; Sphaerotilaceae
Description: Methylibium sp. NS21 Bacterial RNase P class A
Rfam family: Bacterial RNase P class A
About the family: Ribonuclease P (RNase P) is a ubiquitous endoribonuclease, found in archaea, bacteria and eukarya as well as chloroplasts and mitochondria. Its best characterised activity is the generation of mature 5'-ends of tRNAs by cleaving the 5'-leader elements of precursor-tRNAs. Cellular RNase Ps are ribonucleoproteins.
Source: Rfam by way of RNAcentral